GGUGAUGGCGUGAGCGGUUGC
RNAcentral lists this non-coding RNA (21 nucleotides) under Arabidopsis thaliana (thale cress). Lineage: Eukaryota; Viridiplantae; Streptophyta; Magnoliopsida; Brassicales; Brassicaceae. The record is from RNAcentral.